AGAAUCAACGCUGGCGACGUGCCUCAGACAUGCAAGUCGAACGCGAAAGUCCCCUUCGGGGGACAAGUAGAGUGGCGCACGGGUGAGUAACACGUAGGUAAUCUACCUUCGGGUGGGGAAUAACAACCGGAAACGGUUGCUAAUACCGCAUAAUGCAGCGGCACCUAAUGGUGACAGUUGUUAAAGCGGGGGAUCGCAAGAUCUCGCGCCUGAAGAGGAGCCUGCGGCGGAUUAGCUAGUUGGUAGGGUAAUGGCCUACCAAGGCGACGAUCCGUAGC
Molecule: ribosomal RNA, 278 nt
Filed under: uncultured soil bacterium
Lineage: Bacteria
Description: partial 16S ribosomal RNA
Rfam family: Bacterial small subunit ribosomal RNA
Source: RNAcentral